Molecule: unclassified non-coding RNA, 266 nt
Filed under: fungal sp.
Lineage: Eukaryota; Fungi
Description: partial internal transcribed spacer region
Rfam family: Eukaryotic small subunit ribosomal RNA (bases 1-46)
Source: RNAcentral
AAGUCGUAACAAGGUUUCCGUAGGUGAACCUGCGGAAGGAUCAUUACGCUAUACCAUCGGGGGGCCGGCGCUUGAGAUUGCGGCACCCAUCAGGGAAGCCCUCUCUCCUGUCCGCCCUGUCUGAAUAUACCCAUGAUUUUUGCGUACCCAUUGUUUCCUCGGCAGGCUUGCUUGCCAGUAGGACAUUUUUCAAACCUUUUGUAAUUGCAGUCAGCGUCAGAACAACUUAAUAGUUACAACUUUCAACAACGGAUCUCUUGGUUCUG